Molecule: long non-coding RNA, 244 nt
Organism: Salvelinus namaycush (lake trout)
Lineage: Eukaryota; Metazoa; Chordata; Actinopteri; Salmoniformes; Salmonidae
Exons: 3
Source: RefSeq, a predicted model, not a curated record
GGUGUUUAAUGCAGGUCUACAGUAACCUAUAGGUGGUGUUUAAUGCAGGCCUAUAGGUGGUGUUUAAUGCAGGUCUACAGUAACCUAUAGGUGGUGUUUAAUGCAGGUCUACAGUAACCUAUAGGUGGUGUUUAAUGCAGGUCUACAGUAACCUAUAGGUGGUGUUUAAUGCAGGUCUACAGUAACCUAUAGGUGGUGUUUAAUGCAGGCCUACAGUAACCUAUAGGUGGUGUUUAAUGCAGGC